UUUUACGGAGAGUUUGAUCCUGGCUCAGGACGAACGCUGGCGGCGUGCUUAACACAUGCAAGUCGAACGAUGAUGCCCAGCUUGCUGGGUGGAUUAGUGGCGAACGGGUGAGU
This is a ribosomal RNA of 113 nucleotides. It matches the Rfam family "Bacterial small subunit ribosomal RNA", at positions 1 to 111 of the family's 1533-position model.